This 449-nucleotide ribosomal RNA is filed under the name uncultured bacterium. RNAcentral describes it as "bacterial SSU rRNA". It matches the Rfam family "Bacterial small subunit ribosomal RNA", at positions 328 to 794 of the family's 1533-position model. The record is from RNAcentral.
AAUCCAGACUCCUACGGGAGGCAGCAGUGGGGGAUAUUGCACAAUGGGGGAAACCCUGAUGCAGCGACGCCGCGUGAGUGAAGAAGUAUUUCGGUAUGUAAAGCCCUAUCAGCAGGGAAGAAGAUGACAGUACCUGAGUAAGAAGCCCCGGCUAACUACGUGCCAGCAGCCGCGGUAAUACGUAGGGGGCAAGCGUUAUCCGGAUUUACUGGGUGUAAAGGGGGCGCAGACGGCGAUGCAAGCCAGGAGUGAAAGCCCGGGGCCCAACCCCGGGACUGCUCUUGGAACUGCGUGGCUGGAGUGCAGGAGGGGCAGGCGGAAUUCCUGGUGUAGCGGUGAAAUGCGUAGAUAUCAGGAGGAACACCGGUGGCGAAGGCGGCCUGCUGGACUGCAACUGACGUUGAGGCCCGAAAGCGUGGGGAGCAAACAGGAUUAGAUACCCGCGUAAU